RNAcentral lists this ribosomal RNA (449 nucleotides) under uncultured bacterium. RNAcentral's name for it is "bacterial SSU rRNA". It matches the Rfam family "Bacterial small subunit ribosomal RNA", at positions 331 to 794 of the family's 1533-position model. The record is from RNAcentral.
CCAGACUCCUACGGGAGGCAGCAGUGGGGAAUAUUGGACAAUGGGGGGAACCCUGAUCCAGCGACGCCGCGUGAGUGAAGAAGUAUUUCGGUAUGUAAAGCUCUAUCAGCAGGGAAGAAAGAAAUGACGGUACCUGACUAAGAAGCCCCGGCUAACUACGUGCCAGCAGCCGCGGUAAUACGUAGGGGGCAAGCGUUAUCCGGAUUUACUGGGUGUAAAGGGAGCGUAGACGGCGAUGCAAGUCUGAAGUGAAAGGCGGGGGCCCAACCCCCGGACUGCUUUGGAAACUGUAUAGCUGGAGUGCAGGAGAGGUAAGUGGAAUUCCUAGUGUAGCGGUGAAAUGCGUAGAUAUUAGGAGGAACACCAGUGGCGAAGGCGGAUGACUGGACGGCAACUGACGGUGAGGCGCGAAAGCGUGGGGAGCAAACAGGAUUAGAUACCCCGGUACA